AUAUUGCGCAAUGGAGGAAACUCUGACGCAGCGACGCCGCGUGAGCGAUGACGGUCUUNGGAGCGNANAGCUCUGUCCUCGGGGANCCAGGUCUUCGGACUUGACGGUACCCCUGGAGGAAGCCCCGGCUAACUACGUGCCAGCAGCCGCGGUAAUACGUAGGGGGCAAGCGUUGUCCGGAAUUAUUGGGCGUAAAGGGUGCGUAGGCGGCCUUUUAAGUCAGAUGUGAAAGCCCACGGCUCAACCGUGGGAUUGCAUUUGAAACUGGAGGGCUUGAGUAUCGGAGAGGGUAGUGGAAUUCCCAGUGUAGCGGUGAAAUGCGUAGAUAUUGGGAGGAACACCAGUGGCGAAGGCGACUACCUGGACGAUUACUGACGCUGAUGCACGAAAGCUAGGGGAGCAAACA
Molecule: ribosomal RNA, 406 nt
Filed under: uncultured bacterium
Lineage: Bacteria
Description: partial 16S ribosomal RNA
Rfam family: Bacterial small subunit ribosomal RNA
Source: RNAcentral